UACAGAGGGUGCGAGCGUUAAUCGGAAUUACUGGGCGUAAAGCGCGCGUAGGUGGAUAGUUAAGUGAGAUGUGAAAGCCCCGGACUCAACCUGGGAAGGUCAUCUCAAACUGGCUGUCUAGAGUACAGUAGAGGGUGGCGGAAUUUCCGGUGUAGCGGUGAAAUGCGUAGAUAUCGGAAGGAACACCAGUGGCGAAGGCGGCCACCUGGGCUGAUACUGACACUGAGGCGCGAAAGCGUGGGUAGCAAACAGG
RNAcentral lists this unclassified non-coding RNA (253 nucleotides) under uncultured Gammaproteobacteria bacterium. RNAcentral's name for it is "contains 16S-23S intergenic spacer region". It matches the Rfam family "Bacterial small subunit ribosomal RNA", at positions 524 to 776 of the family's 1533-position model. The record is from RNAcentral. Lineage: Bacteria; Pseudomonadati; Pseudomonadota; Gammaproteobacteria.